GACGAACGCUGGCGGCGUGCUUAACACAUGCAAGUCGAACGGUGAAGCGCCUUCCUUUUUGGUGGGUGUGGAUGAGUGGCGAACGGGUGAGUAACACGUGAGUAACCUGCCCCCUUCUUCUGGAUAACCGCAUGAAAGUGUGGCUAAUACGGGAUAUUCUGGGUCUGUCGCAUGAUGGGUCUGGGAAAGAUAUUGUUUCGGUGGGGGAUGGGCUCGCGGCCUAUCAGCUUGUUGGUGGGGUGAUGGCCUACCAAGGCGGUGACGGGUAGCCGGCCUGAGAGGGUGGACGGUCACACUGGGACUGAGACACGGCCCAGACUCCUACGGGAGGCAGCAGUGGGGAAUAUUGCACAAUGGGCGCAAGCCUGAUGCAGCGACGCCGCGUGAGGGAUGGAGGCCUUCGGGUUGUGAACCUCUUUCGCCAGUGAAGCAGGCCUGCCUCGUUUGUGGGUGGGUUGACGGUAGCUGGAUAAGAAGCGCCAGCUAACUACGUG
This 494-nucleotide ribosomal RNA is filed under the name uncultured bacterium. RNAcentral's name for it is "partial 16S ribosomal RNA". It matches the Rfam family "Bacterial small subunit ribosomal RNA", at positions 28 to 507 of the family's 1533-position model. The record is from RNAcentral.